This 274-nucleotide ribosomal RNA is filed under the name uncultured bacterium. RNAcentral's name for it is "partial 16S ribosomal RNA". It matches the Rfam family "Bacterial small subunit ribosomal RNA", at positions 523 to 796 of the family's 1533-position model. The record is from RNAcentral.
AUACAGAGGGUGCGAGCGUUAAUCGGAAUUACUGGGCGUAAAGCGCGCGUAGGCGGCUACUUAAGUCAGAUGUGAAAUCCCCGGGCUCAACCUGGGAACUGCAUCUGAUACUGGGUAGCUAGAGUUUUGGAGAGGGAAGUAGAAUUUCAGGUGUAGCGGUGAAAUGCAUAGAGAUCUGAAGGAAUACCAGUGACGAAGGCGACUUCCUGGCCAAAAACUGACGCUGAGGUGCGAAAGCGUGGGUAGCAAACGGGAUUAGAAACCCUUGUAGUCC